UGCCGAAACGCCCAGGCUCUCAGUCGUGGCAGCCGGAUCGCCAAGCUGCGAGACAAUCGGGCGUCAGCGCCGCAGUGGUCGGCGGCGUUCUGAUGAGGCAGACCAGA
Molecule: non-coding RNA, 107 nt
Filed under: Elusimicrobia bacterium CG_4_10_14_0_2_um_filter_63_34
Lineage: Bacteria; Pseudomonadati; Elusimicrobiota
Also listed under: 1 other name
Source: RNAcentral